GAUACAGGAAUAGAUCAGAUCAGCAUUUUUCUCAUGAAACAGUUUUUUAGGUAAUCAUGAGAUUAAAAAGUAAUGAUAACUUAUGCAAGAAAACAAACACCCCAUGUUUUCCUUGGGCCUGGAGAUGUUUAAAAGCAACCUGAAAAAUCCUGUGAAUUUUUCUACAAAAAGCAAAUGACUCUGCAGGCAGCUGCCGCCAGGACAGAGAGCUCUUGCUGUGUAGCCGGGAGCAGGCAGCACAGGGAGGCUUCUGUCAGGUGGAGAAGGGAUAUAAGCUCCUCUCUGCUCCUGCCUCCCUCACCUCCACCUCCCUCCUGGCACUGCUGGGUCAGCAGGAAGGAGUGAAGGGCUCCAUCCACUGUCAUCUUUCCUUUUUCAUUAGAGCCUGACAACCAUUGUUUCUAGACUUAAAUGUUUUCAACUUUAAAUACAUACAUCUGAGCAGAGGGGUAGUAUAUACAAGCUUGUCACUCAGAGCCAGGGGGUAUCCACAGGAGCUUUUGGGUCUAGAAAGGCAUAUAUGCAUAAAAUGCAAGACAUAUUACAGAUGAUUUGCUUCUAUUUAUUCUCAAAGACCAAUGUGAAGGAGUUUAAGGGCUGAAUUCGUUCUUUGCUGUACACUGAAGUCAACAGAGUUAGACCAGGACUGUGUUUGGCAGUAUUUCCAUAUCCUCCAAUUCAGCAUGGAAUAUGUAAUCAUCUGACAGAGGAUUCAGUAUGUUUAGUUGUAUAACUGCUAGAACAGAUAAAGGAUCAGCCAGGCAAACAGUGAAAUAUGAAAACGGUUCUCGUAAAAACAUCCCAGCCUUGGGGCAUGCAUCUGCCAAGACUACUCCGUGGUGACAUGAAUGGACAUAGCAUUUAACUACUCUCCAAGAGGAGAGAGAAUUACAAGGAGGUGGGGAAAGCAGAAGAAGCCAGAGCAAUCCUGCCAACAAUAGCAGAACCAAUGGGGUUGGUAUUCCCAGGAUGGGGAGAUUUGGACAGGGUGCCAUAACUCAGCAGCUACAUGUGGGACCGAAAGCAGAGAGAGUGAGUAAAUGGAGGGGUUCAGUAAAGUGGGAAACAAACUGGGAACCUUACCCACAUUUCCAAAAAACAAUUUUCUAUGGCUAUUUAAGCUCAGUGCUACAAAUCAUAUGCCUUUGAGAAGUUCUAGAGCAUCAUCUUUAGUCCUUUCAUAACAAGCUUCCUUCUUAUGCAGUUAAUUUGCUCUUUUUUUUUUUUUUUUUGGGGUAUGACUGUAACUGAUAGUGUUAUUUUGCAAGAGUUUAUGCUAGUGAGACAAGCAUCCUGUGUGCCAUAAGCUUUAAUGAACACACAGAAAAAGUUCAAUAAAAGGGCAGUGGGAGCGUGAACUUCCUUCCAUGACAGUGUUUUCCUGUGUUUUCCUGUAUAACAUUGUAUAGCAUAAAGGACUGCACCUU
This is a long non-coding RNA of Pezoporus occidentalis (night parrot), 1427 nucleotides long. RefSeq lists it as uncharacterized. The transcript has 2 exons. Lineage: Eukaryota; Metazoa; Chordata; Aves; Psittaciformes; Psittacidae. The record is from RefSeq and is a predicted model, not a curated record.